This 39-nucleotide ribosomal RNA is filed under the name Hirsutella versicolor. Its description in RNAcentral is "partial 28S ribosomal RNA". The record is from RNAcentral. Lineage: Eukaryota; Fungi; Ascomycota; Sordariomycetes; Hypocreales; Ophiocordycipitaceae.
GUUGACUCGGAUCAGGGGGGUACCGCUGAACUUACCUAC